AGGACGAACGCUGGCGGCGUGCCUAACACAUGCAAGUCGAACGGGGGUUUGCUUCGGUAGAACCUUAGUGGCGAACGGGUGAGUAACGCGUAGGCAACCUGCCCCCCGGAUUGGGACAACACCCCGAAAGGGGUGCUAAUACCGGAUACGAAGAUAGCACCGCAUGGUGAUAUUUUGAAAGAUGGCCUCUACAGGUAAGCUAUCGCCGGGGGAUGGGCCUGCGUCCGAUUAGCUGGUUGGUGGGGUAACGGCCCACCAAGGCGACGAUCGGUAGCCGGUCUGAGAGGAUGAACGGCCACAUUGGGACUGAGACGCGGCCCAGACUCCUACGGGAGGCAGCAGUGGGGAAUCUUCCGCAAUGGGCGCAAGCCUGACGGAGCAACGCCGCGUGAGUGAGGAAAGUUUUUCGGAACGUAAAGCUCUGUUGUACAUGACGAACGUGCGAUCUGUCAACAACGGAUGGCAGUGACGGUAGUGUACGAGGAAGCCACGGCUAACUACGUGCCAGCCGCGGC
Molecule: ribosomal RNA, 515 nt
Filed under: uncultured bacterium
Lineage: Bacteria
Description: bacterial SSU rRNA
Rfam family: Bacterial small subunit ribosomal RNA
Source: RNAcentral